Long non-coding RNA from Spea bombifrons (plains spadefoot toad), 353 nucleotides. RefSeq lists it as uncharacterized. Lineage: Eukaryota; Metazoa; Chordata; Amphibia; Anura; Pelobatidae. The record is from RefSeq and is a predicted model, not a curated record. The transcript has 3 exons.
AGAUCCACAAGGUAUAUUUCCUGGCUGCAGGUUUUCACUUGUGCAAUGCAAACUGAAAGGUUAAGUUUGUUGAAGGCAAGGCAAACCUUCUGAAGCUGUAUGGAUUUCAUUCCAAGGCAGGAACAAUGGGUACAGCUCAACCCAUUUGUUGUGGAUGUCUGCACCACUGAAGCUCGCUUUCAAACCACAACAUGAACAAUCUGCCGCACCAGACUUUUUUUGGCAGUGGUGCACAAAGCAAGGUCCAUAAAGACAUGGUUGGAUGAGUUUGGAAGAACGUGACUGUCCCCCAGAGAGCCCUGACCUCAACCCCCACAAACACCUUUGGGAUGAACUGGAAUGGGGAUUGCGAG